Molecule: ribosomal RNA, 831 nt
Filed under: uncultured beta proteobacterium
Lineage: Bacteria; Pseudomonadati; Pseudomonadota; Betaproteobacteria
Description: bacterial SSU rRNA
Rfam family: Bacterial small subunit ribosomal RNA
Source: RNAcentral
UUAACGGAGCACGGGAAGCAAUCCUGGGUGGCGUAAUGGCGAACGGGUGAGUAAUAUAUCGGAACGUGCCCCAGAUCGUGCGGGAUAACGCAGCGAAAGCUGUGCUAAUACCGGCAUACGAUCUACAGGAUGAAAGCGGGGGAUCGCAAGACCUCGCGCGAUUGGAGCGGCCAGAUAUCAGAUUAGCUAGUUGGUGAGGUAAAGGCUCACCAAGGCGACGGAUCUGUAGCUGGUCUGAAGAGGACAGACCAAGCCACGACGUGGAACUGAGGACACGGUCCAGACUCCUACGGGAGGCAGCAGUGGGGAAUUUUGGACAAUGGGCGCAAGCCUGAUCCAGCAAUGCCGCGUGCAGGAUGAAGGCCUUCGGGUUGUAAACUGCUUUUGUACGGAACGAAACGGUGAGCUCUAAUACAGUUUGCUAAUGACGGUACCGUAAGAAUAAGCACCGGCUAACUACGUGCCAGCAGCCGCGGUAAUACGUAGGGUGCGAGCGUUAAUCGGAAAAUCUACUGGGGCGUAAAGCGUGCGCAGGCGGUUCAUGUAACGACAGAUGUGAAAUCCCCGGGCUCAACCUGGGACCUUGCACAUUUGUGACUGCAUAAGCUAGCAGUACGGUACGACAGGGGGGAUUGGGAAUUCCCAGCGGUGUAGCAGGAGAAAUGCGUAGAUAUUGCGGAGGAACAACCGAUUGGCGAAGGCAAAUCCCCUUGCAACCUGUUCUUGACGCUCCCUGCACGAAAACCGUGGGGAGCCAACCGGGAUUAUCAUCACCCUUGGUAAACCACGCCCCUAAAAAUCUAAACAGGUGUUGGCUCUACACUGCACCAG